Molecule: non-coding RNA, 160 nt
Organism: Trichinella pseudospiralis
Lineage: Eukaryota; Metazoa; Nematoda; Enoplea; Trichinellida; Trichinellidae
Source: Rfam
AUACUUACCUGGCAGAUCAUCAACAAUGAUCAAGAAGGUUGUUGAUGCGGGAGGAGACUUGUGCAUUGCACUUAGCACUUGUUGAACCCUGGGAUCAUUUCAAUUUGAAAUGCAUCCUCUGCAUAAUUUUUGCGUUAGGGAGGCGUACGCGCCACCCUUA